AUUGAACGCUGGCGGCAGGCCUAACACAUGCAAGUCGAGCGGAGCGGCGGACGGGUGAGUAAUGCCUAGGAAUCUGCCUGUUAGUGGGGGAAAACGUCCGGAAACGGGCGCUAAUACCGCAUACUACCAGAUGAGCCUAGGUCGGAUUAGCUAGUUGGUGGGGUAAAGGCCUACCAAGGCGACGAUCCGUAACGGGCCGGAGAGGAUGAUCAGUCACACUGGAACUGAGACACGGUCAAGACUCCUACGGGAGGAAGCAGUGGGGACUAUUGGACAAUGGGCGAAAGCCUGUUCCAGCCAUGCCCCGUGUGUGAGGAAGGUCUUCGGAUGUUAAAGCACUUAAACUUGGGAGGCGUUACCAGCAGAAUAAGCACCGGCUAACUUCGUGCCAGCAGCCGCGGUAAUAC
Molecule: ribosomal RNA, 407 nt
Filed under: uncultured bacterium
Lineage: Bacteria
Description: partial 16S ribosomal RNA
Rfam family: Bacterial small subunit ribosomal RNA
Source: RNAcentral